CCUACGGGUGGCUGCAGUGGGGAAUAUUGCACAAUGGGGGAAACCCUGAUGCAGCGACGCCGCGUGAAGGAAGAAGUAUUUCGGUAUGUAAACUUCUAUCAGCAGGGAAGAAAGUGACGGUAACUGACUAAGAAGCGCCGGCUAACUACGUGCCAGCAGCCGCGGUAAUACGUAGGGGGAAAGCGUUCUCCGGAUUGACUGGGUGUAAAGGUAGCGUAGGCGGCGAUGCAAGUCAGAAGUGAAAGCCCGGGGCUCAACUCCGGGACUGCUUUUGAAACUGGAAGGCUAGAUUGAAGGAGAGGAAAGUGGAAUUCCUAGUGUAGCGGUGAAAUGCGUAGAUAUCAGGAGGAACACCAGUGGCGAAGGCGGCUUGCUGGACUGUAAAUGACGCUGAGGCUCGAAAGCGUGGGGAGCAAACAGGAUUAGAUACCCCAGUAGUC
RNAcentral lists this ribosomal RNA (440 nucleotides) under uncultured bacterium. RNAcentral describes it as "partial 16S ribosomal RNA". It matches the Rfam family "Bacterial small subunit ribosomal RNA", at positions 338 to 795 of the family's 1533-position model. The record is from RNAcentral.